UACGGAGGGUGCAAGCGUUAAUCGGAAUUACUGGGCGUAAAGCGCACGCAGGUGGCUGAGUCAGUCGAUUGUGAAAGCCCUGGGCUUAACCUGGGAAUUGCAGUCGAUACUACUCAGCUAGAGUAUGGGAGAGGGUAGUGGAAUUCCCGGUGUAGCGGUGAAAUGCGUAGAUAUCGGGAGGAACAUCAGUGGCGAAGGCGGCUACCUGGCCCAAUACUGACACUCAGGUGCGACAGCGUGGGGAGCAAACGGG
Molecule: ribosomal RNA, 253 nt
Filed under: uncultured bacterium
Lineage: Bacteria
Description: partial 16S ribosomal RNA
Rfam family: Bacterial small subunit ribosomal RNA
Source: RNAcentral